This is a long non-coding RNA of Crotalus tigris (Tiger rattlesnake), 550 nucleotides long. RefSeq lists it as uncharacterized. The record is from RefSeq and is a predicted model, not a curated record. Lineage: Eukaryota; Metazoa; Chordata; Lepidosauria; Squamata; Viperidae. The transcript is spliced from 3 exons.
GGAAGCCCAAAGAAAAUUGAAAAUGGUGAGCAUGUGAUCUUGGGAUGCUGCAAUUGCAUAGGAUUCACCUAAUGAUGUUAGCUGAAACUGCUGCAACAACCAUUAUAAGUUGGUGUGCUGUCUCAGCAUCUCCAGGGCACUUCUCUUGGUUUCAAGGAAAAGGAUUUCCUAAGAUUUGGAAGCUUCGUGAGCAAGACUAAUCUAUGACUUAUGCCUAAAUGGCAUAUCAUCAUACAUUUACAUUAUGUGCAGUAAAUGGGAACAUAUUUCCCUCUUUACUGAUCUUCUAUCUUCAUAGAGUUUAUUGUAUAGUGUUGAACAUCUACCUGGAGAGAUGCUGCUAGUCAGUAAAUAAUAUUGAAUUACAUUUGAUAAACUAAGAAAUAUAAAGAGAUUACCUAUACUUGUGUCAUUUGACAAUCCCAUAACAGUUACAUCUGAGAAGUGGAGGAUAUUCUGGAACACUGGAGCAUCAUAUGGAAUAUUCAGCUGGGUACUGAGAUAUGUAUUACUCUAACCCUGAAAGUUUCACUUGGAUCACAAAUCUUGA